GAUGAACGCUGGCGGCGUGCCUAAUACAUGCAAGUCGAGCGAACAGACGAGGAGCUUGCUCCUCUGACGUUAGCGGCGGACGGGUGAGUAACACGUGGAUAACCUACCUAUAAGACUGGGAUAACUUCGGGAAACCGGAGCUAAUACCGGAUAAUAUAUUGAACCGCAUGGUUCAAUAGUAAAAGACGGUUUUGCUGUCACUUAUAGAUGGAUCCGCGCUGCAUUAGCUAGUUGGUAAGGUAACGGCUUACCAAGGCAACGAUGCGUAGCCGACCUGAGAGGGUGAUCGGCCACACUGGAACUGAGACACGGUCCAGACUCCUACGGGAGGCAGCAGUAGGGAAUCUUCCGCAAUGGGCGAAAGCCUGACGGAGCAACGCCGCGUGAGUGAUGAAGGUCUUCGGAUCGUAAAACUCUGUUAUUAGGGAAGAACAAAUGUGUAAGUAACUAUGCACGUCUUGACGGUACCUAAUCAGAAAGCCACGGCUAACUACGUG
This 497-nucleotide ribosomal RNA is filed under the name uncultured bacterium. RNAcentral describes it as "partial 16S ribosomal RNA". It matches the Rfam family "Bacterial small subunit ribosomal RNA", at positions 28 to 507 of the family's 1533-position model. The record is from RNAcentral.